Molecule: ribosomal RNA, 492 nt
Filed under: uncultured bacterium
Lineage: Bacteria
Description: partial 16S ribosomal RNA
Rfam family: Bacterial small subunit ribosomal RNA
Source: RNAcentral
AGUGAACGCUGGCGGUAGGCCUAACACAUGCAAGUCGAACGGCAGCACAGUAAGAGCUUGCUCUUACGGGUGGCGAGUGGCGGACGGGUGAGGAAUACAUCGGCAUCUACUUUUUCGUGGGGGAUAACGUAGGGAAACUUACGCUAAUACCGCAUACGACCUACGGGUGAAAGCAGGGGAUCUUCGGACCUUGCCCGAUUGAAUGAGCUGAUGUCGGAUUAGCUAGUUGGCGGGGUAAAGGCCCACCAAGGCGACGAUCCGUAGCUGGUCUGAGAGGAUGAUCAGCCACACUGGAACUGAGACACGGUCCAGACUCCUACGGGAGGCAGCAGUAGGGAAUAUUGCACAAUGGGCGCAAGCCUGAUCCAGCCAUGCCGCGUGGGUGAAGAAGGCCUUCGGAUUGUAAAACCCUUUUAUUGGGGAAGAAAAGCAGCAGGUUAAAACCCCGCUGUUCUGACGGUACCCAAUGAAUAAGCACCGGCUAACUUCGUG